AUGAGGGGAGCCCGUAGGAUCCUGAGCUGCCUCCAUAGGAGCUUGAUCCCCCAUAGGACCCCGAUCCGCUGCCUCCUUGGGAUCCAGGUCUGCCUGAUCCCGAUCCUCCUUGGGAUCCAGGUCUUCCUGAUCCUAUUCCCCCUUGGGAUCCAGGUCUGCCUGAUCCCGAUCCCGAUCCACUUCCCCCUUGGGAUCCAGGUCUCCCCGAUCCCGAUCCCCCUUGGGAUCCAGGUCUUCCCAAUCCAUAGGGCAGAAGUCCAUAGGAUCCUGGUGGCCCACCAGAUUCCGGUGAGACAAAAGAUCCUGAUCCGUCCCCUUGGGAUCCCGGUCGGCUUCCAUAGGAUCCUGGUUUACCUCCACUGGAUUCCGGUGACACGUAGGACCCAGAUCCACUUCCUCGUCCCGGGGAUGGCCCCGAUACACCCCCAUAGGAUCCUGAUCCGCCCCCAUAGGAUCCUGAACUGCUCCCAUAGGAUCCGGAGUCACCGUAGGAUCCCGAUCCACCGCCAUGGGAUCCCGAUCCACCUUGGGAUCCCGGUCUGCCCCCAUAGGAUCCUGAUCCACCUUGGGAUCCCGGUCUGCCCCCAUAGGAUCCUGAGCUGCUCCCAUAGGAUCCGGAGUCACCGUAGGAUCCCGAUCCACCGCCAUGGGAUCCUGAUCCACCUUGGGAUCCCGGUCUGCCUCCAUAGGAUCCCAAUCCACCUUGGGAUCCUGGUCUGCCCCCAUAGGAUCCUGAGCUGCUCCCAUAGGAUCCGGAGUCACCGUAGGAUCCCGAUCCACCUUGGGAUCCCGGUCUGCCCCCAUAGGAUCCCGAACUGCUCCCAUAGGAUCCCAAUCCACCGCCAUGGGAUCCCGAUCCACCUUGGGAUCCCGGUCUGCCCCCAUAGGAUCCCGAACUGCUCCCAUAGGAUCCCGAUCCACCGCCAUGGGAUCCCAAUCCGCCAUAGGAUCCUGGUCCGCUGUAGGAUCCCGAGCUGCUCCCAUAGGAUCCUGGUCCACUGUAGGAUCCCACUCCCCCUCCGGAGGACCCCGCUGUGUCCCUCCCAGUUUGGGGGCUGAGGAAUCCAGUGGGUUCCUUGCAGGGAUCCACCCCGGCCAUCAGCGGGCUCAGAUGGGAUCCCGAGUCACAGUCGGAGGCAGCGCCUGGAGAAGUGGAAGGGAGCCUUCCCAGUUCAUCCCAGUCCAUCCCAGUUUGUUCCAGUCCAUCCCAGUUCAUGCCAGUCCAUCCCAGUUUGCUCCAGACCAUCCCAGUUUGUUCUAGUCCAUCCCAGUGCAUCCUAGUUUAUCCCAUCUCACCCCAGUCCAUCCCAGUCCAUCCCAGUCCACCCCAGUCCAUCCCAUCUCACCCCAGUCCAUUCCAGUCCAUCCCAGUUUAUCCCAGUACAUCUCAGUCCAUCCCAGAUCACCCCAGUUUAUCCCAGUCCAUCCCAGAUCACCCCAGUCCAUCCCAGUCCAUCCCAGAUCACCUCAGCCCAUCCCAGUUCACCCCAGCCCAUCCCAGUCCAUCCCAGUUCACCCCAGCCCAUCCCAGUCUAUCCCAGUCCAUCCCAUCUCACCCCAGUCUAUCCCAGUUUGUCCCAAUCCACCCCACUCCAUCCCAGUUCCUCCCAGUUCUCCCCCACUCCAUCCCAGUCCCUUCCAACUCUCCUCCAGCCCAUCCCAGUCCCUCCCAAUCCCCUCCCACUCCAUCCCAGUCCCUCCUAUUUCCCACCCCAGUCCCUCCCAGUUCUCCCAGUCCCUCCCAGUCCCUCACAACCCUCCCCCACU
Phasianus colchicus (ring-necked pheasant) is the source of this 1767-nucleotide long non-coding RNA. NCBI's taxonomy places the organism in Eukaryota, Metazoa, Chordata, Aves, Galliformes, Phasianidae. The record is from Ensembl.